UACAGAGGGUGCGAGCGUUAAUCGGAAUUACUGGGCGUAAAGGGUGCGUAGGUGGUGACAUAAGUAACAGGUGAAAGUCCCGAGCUUAACUUGGGGAUUGCCUGUUAAACUGUGUCGCUAGAGUGUUGUAGAGGAGAGCGGAAUUUCCGGUGUAGCGGUGAAAUGCGUAGAUAUCGGAAGGAACAUCAGUGGCGAAGGCGGCUCUCUGGACAACAUCUGACACUGAGGCACGAAAGCGUGGGGAGCAAACAGG
This 253-nucleotide ribosomal RNA is filed under the name uncultured bacterium. RNAcentral's name for it is "partial 16S ribosomal RNA". It matches the Rfam family "Bacterial small subunit ribosomal RNA", at positions 524 to 776 of the family's 1533-position model. The record is from RNAcentral.